CCUACGGUGUGCAGCAGUGAGGAAUAUUGGUCAAUGGGCGAGACCCUGAACCAGCCAAGUCGCGUGAGUGAUGAAGUAUUUAUGUAUUUUAAGCUUCUUUUAUAUGGGAGUAAAUUGAGGAACGUGUUCCUUUUUGUAUGUACCAUUUGAAUAAGGCUCGGCUAACUCUGUGCCAGCAGCCGCGGUAAUACGGAGGUAGUGAGCGUGAUGCGGAUUUAUUGGGUGUAACGGGAGAGUAGAUGGUUAAUCAAGUCAGCAGUGAAAGUUUGUGGCUCAACCAUAAAAUUGCCUUUGAAACUGGGUGACUGGAGUGUAUUUGAGGUAAGCGGAAUGCGGGGUGUAGCGGUGAAAUGCAUAGAUAUCACGCAGAACUCCGACUGCGAAGGCAGCUUACUAAACUAUAACUGACACUGAGGCACGAAAGCGUGGGGAGCAAACAGGAUUAGAUACCCUUGUAGUC
This 460-nucleotide ribosomal RNA is filed under the name uncultured bacterium. RNAcentral describes it as "partial 16S ribosomal RNA". It matches the Rfam family "Bacterial small subunit ribosomal RNA", at positions 338 to 795 of the family's 1533-position model. The record is from RNAcentral.